CUCUAAUGAGACUGCCGGUGGACAAAUCGGAGGAAAGUGGGGAUGACGUCAAGUCCUCAUGGCCCUUAUAGGUGGGGCUACACACGUCAUACAAUGGCCGGUACAAAGGGUCGCAAACCCGCAGGGGGAGCCAAUCCAUCAAAGCCGGUCGUAGUCCGGAUCGCAGUCUGCAACUCGACUGCGUGAAGUCGGAAUCGCUAGUAAUCGUGGAUCAGCAUGUCACGGUGAAUACGUUCCCGGGUCUU
RNAcentral lists this ribosomal RNA (245 nucleotides) under uncultured Hydrogenophaga sp. RNAcentral describes it as "partial 16S ribosomal RNA". It matches the Rfam family "Bacterial small subunit ribosomal RNA", at positions 1138 to 1382 of the family's 1533-position model. The record is from RNAcentral. Lineage: Bacteria; Pseudomonadati; Pseudomonadota; Betaproteobacteria; Burkholderiales; Comamonadaceae.